Molecule: ribosomal RNA, 253 nt
Filed under: uncultured bacterium
Lineage: Bacteria
Description: partial 16S ribosomal RNA
Rfam family: Bacterial small subunit ribosomal RNA
Source: RNAcentral
UACGAAGGGUGCUAGCGUUGUUCGGAAUUACUGGGCGUAAAGCGCGCGUAGGUGGUUUAGUAAGUUGGAAGUGAAAUCCCUGAGCUUAACUUAGGAAUUGCUUUCAAAACUACUAAGCUGGAGUAUGGUAGGGGAUAGCGGAAUUCCUAGUGUAGAGGUGAAAUUCGUAGAUAUUAGGAGGAACACCAGAGGCGAAAGCGGCUAUCUGGGCCAUUACUGACACUAAGGCGCGAAAGCGUGGGGAGCAAACAGG